Molecule: transfer RNA, 87 nt
Filed under: Mycoplasmopsis fermentans
Lineage: Bacteria; Bacillati; Mycoplasmatota; Mycoplasmoidales; Metamycoplasmataceae
Also listed under: 1 other name
Description: Mycoplasma fermentans tRNA-Cys(gca)
Source: RNAcentral
AUUAUAUAAAAAACUUGCAACUAUUUUAAAUUAGUUGCAAGUUAAUUUCCCUAACUGACAUGUGAAGUGCAACACUUCAAUAUUACA